UAGCAUUCCGUGGUCAAUCAAGGAUGCAUUGGUUGAGAAUAGGAAAUAACAGCCUUAAUUUAGGAUUAAAAAUAUUUUCAAACUACUGAGAAAGCAGCUAAACCAGAACAUUUUUCUAAAUUUUGUAUCAUGGAGAACGGUGCCAGGAAGUUACAACAAAGAAAUCAAAUUUUGUUUCUACCCCAAAGACCAAAUUAAUUAGUUAUGCGUGAAUUGAUUUACUACUAAGGCUAAAUAUGCUGAGAAUUUUCUGUAAAGGACUCAAAUGGUGUGCCUGCCGCACAUAUCAAAUUGAAUUCAUUUGCUACUCAUGCUAGCUAUUCCAAGAAUUUAAAGCUCCUUCACCAAUCAACAGAGAAAAUAUUGAAGGACCAAAUUCCGUUGGUCAAUAAUUUCUGAAACUUAAUUGAGGCUCAGGUGCUCAACGUCUAGUUUUCACAUUUGCUUGGAUAAAUCAUGCGGUUUGUUAAGGAGCUUCUCCGUUUGCUUGAAAUUCACUCCGGAAAAUCCUUUUAUGGCUCAUUGAGCAACAAACUGAAUUAUCAAUUGGACAGCAGCUGCCAGCAACCCAGAAGCCACAGUUGAUUUUUGAUCAUCCUUUUUCAAUUCUUGUAUUUCUAAUCUAGAACUAGAUGACAUUUAGUAUCAAGUUGUAUUUGAUGCUAUUGUCUCAAAUGUGCAACAUGGUUUUUGAAUUUAUUUUCAAAUUUCUGAAAUAUAGAUUCGAAAUUGAACUUCAAUAUGAUAAAAUACAGACAUGCAACAGGUUUCUUUAGAAAUCCUCUCUGCUUUUGAUUUGUAUUAGUCUUGUUAAUAUAUUGGUCAAUGGCAGAUUAUAUAGUCUUUGAGUUAUCCCUUUUGCAUUACUCAAGAUUUCA
Long non-coding RNA from Pistacia vera, 878 nucleotides. RefSeq lists it as uncharacterized. NCBI's taxonomy places the organism in Eukaryota, Viridiplantae, Streptophyta, Magnoliopsida, Sapindales, Anacardiaceae. The record is from RefSeq and is a predicted model, not a curated record. The transcript has 5 exons.